Long non-coding RNA from Gallus gallus (chicken), 1146 nucleotides. The record is from Ensembl. NCBI's taxonomy places the organism in Eukaryota, Metazoa, Chordata, Aves, Galliformes, Phasianidae.
CUCUGGACAUCUUGCCCUUUAUUUACUGAAAAGAAGACAACAUCUUUUCUCAGGGCUGAAACCCCUAUUGCAGUUCCAACACGUGUCUAUUUAUCAGGAGAAAAGCUGAAUAUUUCCACUAUCACAAGAUUAUUGCCAGUGCUCGGAUUUUUCCCUAACCUCCAGCUAAAAUCCUCUGAGCUAACGCUCUGAAAAUGGAACGGCAUACCAAAUCUGCGCUCUGGCUCUCAGAGGUGGAGGCCCACCCUUUCUCCCAAUAAACAAUUUUGCAUACGUUUAAACCUCCCUCCUCUGGUUUCCCAACUCCUCCUGCCUGACCCCCCCAGCAAAGAAAUUACGGAAAUCUGUCAUUUCUCUCUUUUCCCUCGCACCUCCAUCUAUCAGUGUUUCGAAGGCAGUCUCCUCAAAUGCAGAGCAGAGCAGGAGAUGGGCAGCGGUAAUGGGAAUGUGCUCCUGACUGUGCAAACCCACACAGAGAGUGAGGACAGGAGAGACUGCAUUUGCAUACAUAUUAAACGAGAGCAGUAAAAAAUGCAGACGUGCAAACCAUUUGGACAUGGCUCGCCUCGGCAAUGUGCCCUGCAAGGGAAUCAAUCUUCUGCAUUCUUAAAGGGAAAAACCUGUUACGGAGCGAAAAGCAAAGCCAGAAAGACGUCCGCUUACAAACACGGUCAAGGUUUGAAGACGAUCUGACCUUCUGCCUUUGCCAACCACGACCUGCUGUGCAAAGGUACACAUAGGAGGGUGAGACCUGGCAUGAACCAACUGCUGUCACUGGUGAGAGAUCUCCCAGGACCCCAUCCUGAGUGGGAACUGGAGCAAGAGUUCCAAGCUCCACGUGCCCACCUGUGAGGGCAACGCAGAGACCUUCCUGAGAUGGCCCAAGCCAGGCUGCAGGGAAGAACUAAGUGACAUCUGGAUAUGCUGAAGAAGCCCAAACCCUGUGUCCCAGUGCCUUCACCUACUGAAAACAGAGAGACGCAUGGGAGGGACUCAGCGCGAGGAGAGUUGAGCCUCGCACCUGAAACACCACCACUUGAUCCUUCACCAACCAACAGCCCGGCAGAAAGACUUCAGGUUUUAUCCCAGGUCACUGCUGGAGCACGGAGAUGUCUUCUACAUCAGAUGUUUGGGGCUCAGACACCC